CCCAUCCCCAGAGUCAUGUCAGGUGUGGCUGGUCUGUCACAGGUGCUUCAGUAGGUGACAGAGAGGAGACUAUGCCUAUGCUCUGUGCUCUGACCUAUGAACAUCUGAACGGUUAGUAGCCUAACACU
Rattus rattus (black rat) is the source of this 128-nucleotide small nucleolar RNA. RefSeq annotates it as small nucleolar RNA SNORA17. The transcript has a single exon. NCBI's taxonomy places the organism in Eukaryota, Metazoa, Chordata, Mammalia, Rodentia, Muridae. The record is from RefSeq and is a predicted model, not a curated record.